RNAcentral lists this ribosomal RNA (788 nucleotides) under uncultured bacterium. RNAcentral describes it as "bacterial SSU rRNA". It matches the Rfam family "Bacterial small subunit ribosomal RNA", at positions 90 to 856 of the family's 1533-position model. The record is from RNAcentral.
GGACAGUGGCGGAAGGGUGAGUACAACAUGGAUAAUCUGCCUUCAAGUUGGGUAUAACUCCUCGAAAGGGGAGAUAAUCCCGAAUGUGGUGAUCCGGCGCCUGCCGGAGAAUCCAAAGGCGGGGACCGCAAGGCCUGCCGCUUGAAGAUGAGUCCGUGCACUAUCAGCUAGUUGGCGGGGUAACGGCCCACCAAGGCUAUGACGGUUAGCUGGUCUGAGAGGAUGGUCAGCCACACUGGGACUGAGAUACUGCCCAGACUCCUACGGGAGGCUGCAGUCGAGAAUCAUUCGCAAUGGGCGCAAGCCUGACGGUGCGACGUCGCGUGGAGGAUGAAGGUCUUCGGAUUGUAAACUCCUGUCAUGUGGGAUAAAUGGCCAGGGCAAGAAUACUGCCUUGGAAUGAUAGUACCACAGGAGGAAGAGACGGCUAACUCUGUGCCAGCAGCCGCGGUAAUACAGAGGUCUCGAGCGUUGUUCGGAUUUACUGGGCGUAAAGGGAGCGUAGGCGGUUCGGUGUGUUGAAUGUGAAAUCCCACAACUCAACUGUGGAAUGGCAUUCAAAACUACCGGGCUAGAGUACUGGAGAGGAGAGCGGAAUUCUUGGUGUAGCGGUGAAAUGCGUAGAUAUCAAGAGGAACACCGGUGGCGAAGGCGGCUCUCUGGACAGAUACUGACGCUGAGGCUCUAAAGUUAGGGGAGCAAACAGGAUUAGAUACCCUGGUAGUCCUAACCUUAAACGGUGUACACUUGGUGUGCGAGGAAUUGUCCCUUUGCGCGCCGCAGCAAAC